CCUACGGGAGGCAGCAGUGGGGAAUAUUGCACAAUGGGGGGAACCCUGAUCCAGCGACGCCGCGUGAGGGAAUAAGUCUCUGCGUGUCGAAAGCCCUAUCAGCAGGGAAGAAAUUGACGGGACCUGACUAAGAAGCCCCAGCCAACGACGUACCAGCAGCCGCGGAAAUACGGAGGGGACACGCGGUAUCCGGGUUGACUGGGUGUAAAGGGAGCGUGAACGGGGCUGCUAGGCCGGCGUGAAAGCCCGUGGGCUAACCAUCGGCCUGCUCUGGGAACUGGGGGGCUUGAGUGCGGGAGGAGCAGGCGGAAUUCCUAGUGUAGCGGUGAAAUGCGUAGAUAUUAGGAGGAACACCGGCGGCGAAGGCGGCAUGCUGGCCCGUAACUGACGUUGAGGCUCGAAAGUGUGGGGAGCGAACAGGAUUAGAUACCCGAGUAGUC
RNAcentral lists this ribosomal RNA (440 nucleotides) under uncultured bacterium. Its description in RNAcentral is "partial 16S ribosomal RNA". It matches the Rfam family "Bacterial small subunit ribosomal RNA", at positions 338 to 795 of the family's 1533-position model. The record is from RNAcentral.